RNAcentral lists this ribosomal RNA (118 nucleotides) under Salmo salar (Atlantic salmon). Lineage: Eukaryota; Metazoa; Chordata; Actinopteri; Salmoniformes; Salmonidae. The record is from RNAcentral.
GCUACGGCCAUACCAGCCUGGGUACGCCCGAUCUCGUCUGAUCUCGUAAGCUAAGCAGGGUCGUGCCUGGUUAGUACUUGGAUGGGAGACCGCCUGGCAAUACCAGGUGCUGUAAGCA